GUGCGGCUAAUAAAACAUAUAAAUUGUAUUUAUAAAGUAUAUUAUGUAUAAAAUAUAUUUGACGUGUUCAAACAUGAAAAGCAUGCGCACCCCCACAUUUUUUGACUGUCGCAAAGUAAACCAUUUUCAAGCGUGAGCGAUACAGUCUUCAAGAAAAAAAACAUUUUCAGCCGCAGUAAACAACAAAAUUCAGGAUUAUGGAAUACUGUUGAAACUACUGGAGGCAGAAUUAUCGGCAUCGAAAAACGUUUUCAUCAAUUGAACUUAUGCGAGAAUUCGGCAGAUCCAUCCAUUGACUCUGAUAGUCUGGUAGAAGGAAGUCGAUGGCAUAGUUGAAAUAUAUAUCAAACUAAGGAAGAGGAACUGGAUCCGGAAGAAUCCGGACUCAUACAGCGGGCAAAAUAUGCAAUGUACCAUGAAAUCGUCAGAUCAGUUUGUCCGGGUUGGUACAAUGGAAAGGCCAAUCAUUUCUAUCAUCAUAGCCAGCAGCAGGAUAUGAUUUGAUUUGAACCACUGAGAGGACCGUCGUACGUCAAACGGAUCAUCCGUGCCGUAACCCAUUCACCGAAUAAUGAAAUAUCACCACCUCGAUCACCACUUACCAUAUCCGCAAUCCGAAUUAUGGUCGCAAAGAUAUUAGUGAUUAUCGAUUGUUGGGGAGAGGGGGCGUUGGCACGGAUGAACCGUCUGAUGUAUGACAAGGACGAGUCAAGUAACUUAUCAUAUUUGAAUGGAUCAGUAGUAAUAUAACCACCGCUCUGGAAGUAGAACACCAGGUUUUAUUGGUUUUGCUCUGCUGGUCAAUUAUAUUUUUUGCGACUCUGAUAUUUAUGCAACGAAAGGAGCCAAACCAAUUCUUUUUUUAAAUUUUCGCCAUCACAAUAUUUUUUUGCAUCUUUGUUUUGUUAAAAAAAGUUACUGGAAAACUAUGAAUAAAUCAACACUAUAACCAAAUGUCUAUUUUCAGCAUGAUUGAGUUAAUCAUUUACUUCCCAUAUCAACAUUGCUGUUAUAAACAGCAUUUAAAUUCUGAGUAUAAUUUAUCUGUUUCUAAUUCGAGAUACUGCCAAUAUAUCACUAUUAUUUCCAUUACUCUCAAUAGUGUAAUCCAUUUGAGCUCCUUAAUGUGAAUCAAGAGGCUGCACAUAAAAUUCAUCUUGACGAUAUCGGCAAUAAUUCAAUAACGUUGCACAUAGUUUUCAUGUAUGAAAGUAACUGGUCAUAUUCUAAGUGCAAGGCAUAUAUAUGUAAUGUGCGUUUUUAUUUGA
This is a long non-coding RNA of Armigeres subalbatus, 1268 nucleotides long. RefSeq lists it as uncharacterized. Lineage: Eukaryota; Metazoa; Arthropoda; Insecta; Diptera; Culicidae. The transcript is spliced from 3 exons. The record is from RefSeq and is a predicted model, not a curated record.